Molecule: non-coding RNA, 662 nt
Organism: Paramuricea clavata
Lineage: Eukaryota; Metazoa; Cnidaria; Anthozoa; Malacalcyonacea; Plexauridae
Source: the annotation of a GenBank genome assembly
UUACAGAACUAUACAGGCUAUUGAAAAAUAGUAUAGCUUCCAUAGCAAUUAAAACCUUAAACCACAUGAUAACAACAAAGUUUUUUAAAGCAGACAACAGUACCUACUGUUUUAAUUUUGUCACAUAUGUAAUAAAAUAUAUUCAUCUGAGUGAUAGUUCAAAGAUAUUGCGAUACAGUUCAAUGGUGUUUCAGUGAUAAUUUCGAAACAAUUUCUGAAUUUUGAUUGCAGCCAAAAAAUGAAAUAUAGUGCAUAUUUCAUUGACUAUCAAUACAGUAAAAUACAGCCAUUUCUCGCAGAAAUUAAUACGAAAACCCCAAGUGACAAAAAUGGCUGGCGUUUUUAGUUGAUUUUCUAUUAAAAUUAUUCAUAUUAAAAAUAAGUAUUUCGUAUGUGACCUAUGCACACACAUGACUGCAUAAUUUUUUCAUGUAUAUUAUCAGUUAACUAGAAAAUACAUGCAUGGAGAAACCCUCGCCUUGCUGACAAAACCAUUAUAUUUACCAAACAUGAAGUAUUUAAAGUAUAGCUGUCAUGGUAACACGAUAAUUUCAUUAAGAAUAUUUUUUAAAAUUGAAAAAUUUCCUAAAAUAUCACUUUUAAUUACAAAAUUAUCAAUCUCCAAACAAAUAUGUUAGGUAUGUUAUUAUACGUAAUAUUAG